ACCAAAUUCUCAACGAUGGAUAUCUUGGUUCCCAUAACGAUGAAGAACGCAGCGAAGUGCGAUAAGCAAUGCGAAUUGCAGAACCGUGAGUCAUCAGAUUUUUGAACGCAACUGGCGCCGGCUGGCUCUCCAGCCGGCAUGCUUGUUUCAGUGU
RNAcentral lists this ribosomal RNA (154 nucleotides) under Meseres corlissi. Its description in RNAcentral is "5.8S ribosomal RNA". It matches the Rfam family "5.8S ribosomal RNA". Rfam says of the family: 5.8S ribosomal RNA (5.8S rRNA) is a component of the large subunit of the eukaryotic ribosome. The record is from RNAcentral. Lineage: Eukaryota; Ciliophora; Spirotrichea; Sporadotrichida; Halteriidae.